GUCUUUUUGAAAAUAAUUUAAAGUCUAGCCUGCCCACUGAAAAUUAAAUGGCUGCGGUAUUUUGACCGUACAAAGGUAGCAUAAUCAAUAGUUUCUUAAUUAGAAGCUUGUAUGAAUGGUUGGAUAAGAAAAUUACUGUCUCUGAUUAAAUUAUAGAAUUUUAUUUUUAAGUUAAAAAGCUUAAAUGAUAUUAAAAGACGAGAAGACCCUAUAGAGUUUUAUAAUUUUUUUAAAGUUAAAAUUUUUGGAAUUAAAUAUUUUUAUUUUAAUUAAUUAUUUGAUUGGGGUGAUUGAAAAAUUAAAUAAACUUUUUUUAUUUUUUUACAUUAGUUUAUGAUUAAUUGAUCCAUUGAAAUGAUUAAAAGAAAAAAUUACCUUAGGGAUAACAGCGUAAUUUUUUCUUAAAGUUCUUAUUGAAGAAAAAGAUUGCGACCUCGAUGUUGGAUUAAAGGAAAUUUAUGGUGAAGAAGCUAUAAUAUUAAGUCUGUUCGACUUUUAAAACUUUACA
This 508-nucleotide ribosomal RNA is filed under the name Stenotarsus lemniscatus. RNAcentral describes it as "partial 16S ribosomal RNA". It matches the Rfam family "Bacterial large subunit ribosomal RNA", at positions 1825 to 2600 of the family's 2925-position model. Lineage: Eukaryota; Metazoa; Arthropoda; Insecta; Coleoptera; Endomychidae. The record is from RNAcentral.